Molecule: long non-coding RNA, 297 nt
Filed under: Elaeis guineensis (African oil palm)
Lineage: Eukaryota; Viridiplantae; Streptophyta; Magnoliopsida; Arecales; Arecaceae
Description: long non-coding RNA (EGUI_LNC018561)
Source: RNAcentral
AUUCCUCAUAGAUGCUUCAUUUUUAAACAAAAAUAGUCAUAAAAAGAAUACUUCAUCUAUGGAUGAAUAUAGCCACAAUGAGUUCCUUGAAGGUGCUUUGUUUCUGAAUGAAAAUAACAACGAGAAGGAUACUUCAUCCCAAGAUGAAUAUAGUCACAACAAAUUUCUCGAAGAUACUUUAUUUUCAAAUAAAAAUAGUCACGAGAAGGAUGCUUCGUCUACAGAUGAAUAUAGCUGCAACAAGUUUCUCAAAGAUGCUUCAUUUUUGAAUGAAUAUAGUCGUAAUAACAGGACUCC